CUCUACAGCCAUCCCACCCUGAACAAGCCCGAUCCCGUCUGAUCUCGGAAGCUAAGCAGGGUCGGGCCUGGUCAGUACUUGGAUGAGAGACCACCUAGGAAGACCAGGUACUCUAGGCG
RNAcentral lists this ribosomal RNA (119 nucleotides) under Pteropus alecto (black flying fox). Lineage: Eukaryota; Metazoa; Chordata; Mammalia; Chiroptera; Pteropodidae. The record is from RNAcentral.